ACUCAAAUGAAUUGACGGGGGCCCGCACAAGCGGUGGAGCAUGUGGUUUAAUUCGACGCAACGCGCAGAACCUUACCAGCCCUUGACAUGUCUAUGACCGGUACCAGAGAUGGAACCUUCCCUUCGGGGCAUAGAGCACAGGUGCUGCAUGGCUGUCGUCAGCUCGUGUCGUGAGAUGUUGGGUUAAGUCCCGCAACGAGCGCAACCCCCGUCCUUAGUUGCUACCAUUUAGUUGAGCACUCUAAGGAGACUGCCGGUGAUAAGCCGCGAGGAAGGUGGGGAUGACGUCAAGUCCUCAUGGCCCUUACGGGCUGGGCUACACACGUGCUACAAUGGCGGUGACAAUGGGAAGCAAAAGGGCAACCUCUCGCAAAUCUCAAAAAGCCGUCUCAGUUCGGAUUGGGCUCUGCAACUCGAGCCCAUGAAGUUGGAAUCGCUAGUAAUCGUGGAUCAGCAUGCCACGGUGAAUACGUUCCCGGGCCUUGUACACACCGCCCGU
This 499-nucleotide ribosomal RNA is filed under the name uncultured bacterium. RNAcentral's name for it is "partial 16S ribosomal RNA". It matches the Rfam family "Bacterial small subunit ribosomal RNA", at positions 899 to 1397 of the family's 1533-position model. The record is from RNAcentral.